CCCGGCGUGGCGUAAAGGUUAGCGUGCCAGAUUCUAACUCUGGAGAUCCCCGUUCGAUCCGAGGGCGUCGGUG
RNAcentral lists this transfer RNA (73 nucleotides) under Caudoviricetes sp. Its description in RNAcentral is "tRNA-OTHER". It matches the Rfam family "tRNA". Rfam says of the family: Transfer RNA (tRNA) molecules are approximately 80 nucleotides in length. Their secondary structure includes four short double-helical elements and three loops (D, anti-codon, and T loops). Further hydrogen bonds mediate the characteristic L-shaped molecular structure. tRNAs have two regions of fundamental functional importance: the anti-codon, which is responsible for specific mRNA codon recognition, and the 3' end, to which the tRNAs corresponding amino acid is attached (by aminoacyl-tRNA synthetases). tRNAs cope with the degeneracy of the genetic code in two manners: having more than one tRNA (with a specific anti-codon) for a particular amino acid; and 'wobble' base-pairing, i.e. permitting non-standard base-pairing at the 3rd anti-codon position. Lineage: Duplodnaviria; Heunggongvirae; Uroviricota; Caudoviricetes. The record is from RNAcentral.